RNAcentral lists this non-coding RNA (28 nucleotides) under Mus musculus (house mouse). Lineage: Eukaryota; Metazoa; Chordata; Mammalia; Rodentia; Muridae. The record is from RNAcentral.
UGAGCAAUAAAUGUCUUGCUUUUUGGUC